GACGAACGCUGGCGGCGUGCCUAAUACGUGCAAGUCGAGCGAACGGACGAGAAGCUUGUUUCACUGGUGUUAGCGGCGGACGGGUGAGUAACACGUGGAGAAUCUACCUAUAAGACUGGGACAACUUUGGGAAACCGUAGCUAAUACCGCAUAAUAUCUUUAACCGCAUGGUUUAAAAGUGAAAGACGCAAUUGCAUUAAUCAAUAGAUGGAUCUCCGCUUCAUUGGUUAGUUGGUAAGGUAAGGGCUUACCAAGGCAAGGAUGCAUAGCCGACCGGAGAGGGUGAUCGGCCACACUGGAACUGAGACACGGUCCAGACUCCUACGGGAGGCAGCAGUAGGGAAUCUUCCGCAAUGGGCGAAAGCCUGACGGAGCAGCGCCGCGUGAGUGAUGAAGGUCUUCGGAUCGCAAAACUCUGUUAUUAGGGAAGAACAUAUGUGUAAGUAACUGUGCACAUCUUGACGGUACCUAAUCAGAAAGCCACGGCUAACUACGUG
RNAcentral lists this ribosomal RNA (497 nucleotides) under uncultured bacterium. RNAcentral's name for it is "partial 16S ribosomal RNA". It matches the Rfam family "Bacterial small subunit ribosomal RNA", at positions 28 to 507 of the family's 1533-position model. The record is from RNAcentral.